Molecule: long non-coding RNA, 404 nt
Filed under: Numida meleagris (helmeted guineafowl)
Lineage: Eukaryota; Metazoa; Chordata; Aves; Galliformes; Numididae
Description: lncRNA (ENSNMEG00000020667.1)
Source: RNAcentral
UUCUGCAUCUAGAGAUGCAGACAACACCCCUCAAAGAGAGCUAAAUGUUUACUGAGCUCAAAGUGGGAUCCAUAUUUAUGCAAAGGACCAGCAGCAGUGCUACCUCAUCAGACUGCAGCAGACAGCAAACAAGGAAGCGGGCACAUUUGCCAUUUGUAUGAAUAGCUUUGCAAGGCAACCCAACUCCUUUCAAAAAGAGCGUUACUUCAGCUUCUUCCAGAGUGGUGCAUGCUAGAAGAAGAACAUACCUCAGAAAAUAGCAUCUCACCUGAGUUAUAUGUUGAUACAUUAGCAGCAUUUUACAUUCAUGUCUUGCCUUUGGCAUAAUCUACUCUUGUACUUUCCAUUGUAAGACUGUGGUAUAGUUGGAUAGAUACCUGCGGACAAGUUACUCAUACCUUCAC